GAAGUUAGAAUAGAGCACGGGCUUAUGUCAUGGCUGUGCUUUUAGGCCGUGUGCAAUACUGAUUGACUAACACGAGCGUGUUGGACCUCACACGGGCGUGAGAGAAACGAAAGGAGUACCACAUGGCCGUGCGAUGCAGCUGUGUGCGAUACUGACUUGAAACAUCAACUCAUAAGCAUAAGCCAUGAACACGAGCAUGGAGAAUCCCACACGGGCGUGGGAGAAACGAACGAACGUGCACACGGCCAUGCGAUUCGAC
Molecule: long non-coding RNA, 259 nt
Filed under: Gossypium barbadense (sea-island cotton)
Lineage: Eukaryota; Viridiplantae; Streptophyta; Magnoliopsida; Malvales; Malvaceae
Description: long non-coding RNA (GBAR_LNC006295)
Source: RNAcentral